Molecule: ribosomal RNA, 350 nt
Filed under: Oreodytes scitulus
Lineage: Eukaryota; Metazoa; Arthropoda; Insecta; Coleoptera; Dytiscidae
Description: partial 12S ribosomal RNA
Source: RNAcentral
UUUAAUUGUAAAAAUAUUCAUUUAAGUAGUAUUAGUUAUGACCUUGAAAUUUAAAAAUUUUGGCGGUAUUUUAGUCUAUUCAGAGGAACCUGUCCUAUAAUUGAUAUUCCACGAUAAAUUAAACUUAACUUAUUAAUUUGUAUAUCGUCGUCGUUAAGUAUUUUAUAAGAAUUUAAUAUUUAAGAUUUUAUAUAAAAAAUUAUGUCAGAUCAAGGUGCAGUUUAUAGUUAAGAAGAGAUGGGUUACAAUAAAUUUAUUUAUAUGGUUUUAUAUAUGAAAAUUUAUAAAUAAAGUGGAUUUGAUAGUAAUAAUAUUAAAAUUAAUUUUAUGGUUAAAGCUCUAAAAUGUGU